AGGCGGCCAGUAGGGGUUUGACCAUUUUUGUUGAGCUAUUUCACAGCUGUAAACAACAGUGGCUGAGAUGGAAAGUGAGAACAAUAGCAUAUCCGUAGAUGAUGUACACAAGGAAGACAACGCAGCUCUUUGGGUCGAACCGUUUCAGUCGUUUCACUUGCAUCUGCAAGUUGAGCAGUGGCAGUGGAAUGAUACAUUUUGUCGUUCGCCGGGAAGCACUCAAAACAAACUCCACAGUCUUGUGAAUAUAAAAUAGACGUUACUUCUUUUGGUGCUAGUCAGAAAGACAGAAUUGGUAUUUGAAACAUCAUACAAGAAUGUGGUUCGUAUCAUCCCUCCUGUUAUUUAUUUUCACAAGGGCCGAAUGUGUGCCUUAUUGUCGUUUGCGAGAGAACGGUUCUUAAAUGUUGACCUGUAUGUGUUUGUGGCCCGCUGUGUUGCAACACCUUGGAGUACGAAUGCGGAUAAAAGUAUUAUAACUUGGAACAUACCAACUUCAUACAUGCCAGUAUUAGUGUAGUAGACGACAUACUCUGAAUUGAAAUAGCAUUACAGGAGGCAACCUGGUUUGACAAAACAUGGACAACACUUGCGAUAUAGCUGAAAAACCUAAGAAGGGGAACAUUUUCGAACGGACUGCAGCUAGCAAGCGAAGUGGGCUGGAGGAGCAAAGAAAACGAAACCAAGAUACCAUUCAAAUCCUGUGGAAACAGGGCAUCUUAGCUAGGAAUGACAACUGGAGAGAAUCAAUCCGAAAUUCAGGAAAUGGAGAACAGUAUUGGUCACCCAUUCGACAGCACAGACCCUCUGAAAUUCAACAAUAUUGGUAAACAGAAAGUAAACAUCUUCCCUCUCAUCUGGCAUGCUACAACCCCUGCAAACUUAAGUGUCGCCAAAAAAAAAAUAAAUACCAAAAUAAUAGAUAAUUAUGCCUGGAGCCCAUCUCUGACACAUAACAUCAAGUUCCCAGUCUUUUUCCUGUUUAGUGAUUAAGGUUCAACCAUUCCCUCGGGAAUUGAGCAACUGCUAUGCCAUGAUUUACAUCAAUUUCUGUGCUCAGCAAAGGCUUUUACAUGAUUUAUACUCUUUAAGAGUAUGGCUCAGUUAUUCUUUCAUAAUGCUUAAGAAGAUUCAUAUCAGAACAACGUGAGUUGAGGAAGCUUAGAAGAGUUUGAUGAGAACAAUAUGUUUACCACAGAGGUUUCAAAUGAAAGGAGGCAGGACAAAACUGCAUAAUGAGGAGAUUCACAAUCUGAACUCUUCAACCAACUGAAUUAUAGUGAUGACACCAUUGAAUAUGAGGGAGGCAACAGGACAUGUAAUGCUAACAUGUGUGCAGUGAUAUCUAUAUAUGGUAGCAAGAACCCAAUCCCGCUUUCUUUGUAAGCCUCCUGUGGCCCUCACACUAGUCUUUUAAUUCGACAUCUGACACAACAUAUCUCUCGCAUUCUAACUGACAGUCAGCAUUUGAAGUGCUCUAUGGCUUCCUUCAACCCAAAGGAUGAGAUGCUAAGAAAUCAAGCUAACCCUCUGAAAGCUCCCUUCUCUUUUUUUACGUGGCUCUAGCAAAGGACUGCUACAACAUUUUCAUAAUAAACAUUGCCUCUCUGGCUCCAAAAUUAUAGG
Long non-coding RNA from Cryptotermes secundus, 1626 nucleotides. RefSeq lists it as uncharacterized. NCBI's taxonomy places the organism in Eukaryota, Metazoa, Arthropoda, Insecta, Blattodea, Kalotermitidae. The record is from RefSeq and is a predicted model, not a curated record. The transcript has 3 exons.